This 2644-nucleotide long non-coding RNA is filed under the name Bemisia tabaci. RNAcentral's name for it is "lncRNA ENSSSA3NGG010785". Lineage: Eukaryota; Metazoa; Arthropoda; Insecta; Hemiptera; Aleyrodidae. The record is from RNAcentral.
AUGUAUGUACUAAUGUUCCUUUUACCUUUACUUUUUCAGGUCCAAUUCUUCAUGAUUCCACAAAACGGAUUCUUGUUCCUUUUGUUCUUCGAUUUCUACAAAAAAGCUUACAUGAAUAAAAAACCUGAAGAUAUGAAAAUUUCGAAUGGAAAAGUUGCAAAUGGAAAAGUUACUGAAAAUGGAACCACGAAUAAAAUUGAAAACGGAUUUAAUAAAAGCAACGGGUCAACGGAGAAAAUUGAAAACGGAUUUUAUAAGAAGUCGAAUGAAAAAAUUGAAAAUGGAUUUUACCCGGAUAUUGCACUAAGGAAAGUCAUCGAAAAUGGGAAAAUGCCCAGUAAAGUUGCUUAAACUGAAGUUCCUUCUGAACUUUACACUUUUAUAACUACUUUCAAAUUUGGAGUAAAUACUCCCUCAAUGUUAUACCCUGAAGCCCACUCCAAUUUGGUUAAAUUUUCAACAAACGUUCCUCCAUGCCGUUUGGCAAGUUCUAUUCAAUACGUUUCCAGAAUACUAAUUUUUUGCACUGUAUUUAUAUCGUGGAGCAAUGGGGCUCAGUAUAAAUAUGGUAUCAAAAUUGCAAAAAUCCUUCUGUCGUUCUUUUUUAAAAAAAAAAUUGCAACCGAUGAGAAGUUUGAAACUCAUCACAUAAUGUACAUGUGAGUGACUUCUUUAACAUUCGUAGAAUAAAAAAGUAAUGACUGAUGGUGUUAACCAUUCAUGAAAAUUUUGAGUUUCAAUUAACGUUGAUUGUGAUUUUUUCAGUGCUUGAAGCUCAAACUUUUUGGCUCAUUUAUCAAAAGGAAUUUAAAGUGGCAACGUCUUAUUCAUAAAUUGUCAAAUGAUCCAGUCAUACAUUUGUAGUUCCAUCUCUUAUGUUUUAAAUUAGCUUGAAAAUAAGAUAAGUCUUCAACAUGAUGUUCAAAAAAGAGGUAGAUUCCAAAGAAAUGAUAGGGAUUUAAUUGACAAGAAUUUUCUGUCUGAUAUGUGCAAACAUAUCAAUAAAUUUUUCCUACGCAAUGGAGCUUCAUUCAGAAAGUUGAAAAGGUCACCGAUGGGUAUAUGCUGGUCUUGACAAGUUUUGUUCAGAAAAUAAUUCUGACCUUUUCGCAUACCUUCAGACAGAGUUAAAAAUGUGCGCACGUGUGUAAUUUUAAUACCAGUUGUGUUGAAACAUCAUCUUCGGCAUGAGUUACCGCACGAACAAAAAUAUCUGUAAAUUCAACGAACUUUUCGAGUUGAAUAUUGGUUCUCCUCAGUUUGAUAUACUGUGUAGUGAAAUGUUUCCUUCCUUUAUUUAUACCUCUUUCUUAAUGCUGUUUUUUGAUGUUUCUUCUAUUUAUUUCCUUUUCUCUUUUCCUUCAUAGUGGUAGUUUUAUCCGCCAGAGUUUCCUUAAACUCGGAAUUUUGGACAUAAUUUGGUCAUUUUUCUUUCGUUCGAAGUGUCUAAUUGACAGAUCUCCACCUGUCCAAUUAUGAAACAAUAUGAAUGUCAAAUAUUUUGGAACUCAAACUUAGAUGUGAUAAUUUGCUUUUUAAUUUUGUUGUUUUGUACUAAAUUAAAGGAACAGCUAGUAAUAAUGAAAAGGACAAACGUUACCAUUGCCUGAUCGAUUUACAUCUGUAAUCGACUCCUCGUAUCAGAGGUAAAAAUAAUGACUAUUACAUAAAAUCUGAGUUCAUAAUGGUUAAACAUCUUGGCAACUCUCGAAAUAUUCCAGUGUGGACAUAUGUUCUUAUGUGAUACUAACGCUAUACACACAUAUGUUCCUCUUCUUAUAGAUAUUCACUUACUGACUUUUGCAUUUUUGUAUUUUUUUCAUGUAUCUUUAUCAUAUUUUGGCAAAAUCUUAGUCAAAAAAUUAUAUGUACCUCUUCAUGACGUUGCCCAUUUGAGAAUGAGAUGUUUUCAAAAAUCUCAAGUUUUGGGAUUUUUGAAUGAUACCAAUUGCAAGUUAAAACAGAUGCCAUUUUGAAUUUAAAACCAGAGUAAAUAUAGUUUUUAGAUCUCAGAUAUUUUACUUUGUAUUUAUUUUUGCGCAUCGAUGAGAUCAUACGGAAAUCUAAGGAAUAUAAAAUUUAAUGAUAAAAACUUAAAUUAAGAAUGGUUAAACAUGUUUUAGAUGUUAUCUUAGGGACCACUGGAUGUAAAUAGUAUUUUUCACAAAGUAAUAAAAAUUUAAAUUAUGCAAAAAAUAUAUUGAAGUGUAUUUAUUUUGUACAUUGAAUUUAGCUCGGUUUUAUGAAAUGAACAGAUAUGAGUGCUCGUAUUAGAGAAGUGCUUGUUUCUUCUAUGCAAAUUUAUAUUAAUCCGCAAAUCUGUGAGAAUCUACUCGUAGAUUAUUGAAAUGUCAAGCUUGAAACAGUUAAAUAGUUAAUUACGUUUUACAGCAUUUUUCCCUGCCAUGGUUAAAGGCAGAGAGGCUAAAGGAAAGAUAUACCUAUACAUAGUGCACAGGAAAAACGCCGUAACUCCAAUCACGACUUUUCACUGUUCUUCCACACAUACUGUUCUAUUACGAGAAAACCUGAUCACCAUGAUGCUUCAUUUUAUAAAUUUAAAAUCCCAAUGGUUAUAAUGGUUGUGCCACAGUUACUUCAGAAUUAAGAGGGAUACAUGGUCAUUGGUUUUUCGGUAGUAAAC